GAGUGAACGCUGGCGGUAGGCCUAACCCAUGCAAGUCGAACGGCAGCACAGUAAGAGCCUGCUCUUACGGGUGGCGAGUGGCGGACGGGUGAGGAAUACAUCGGAAUCUACUUUUUCGUGGGGGAUAACGUAGGGAAACUUACGCUAAUACCGCAUACGACCUACGGGUGAAAGCAGGGGAUCUUCGGACCUUGCGCGAUUGAAUGAGCCGAUGUCGGAUUAGCUAGUUGGCGGGGUAAAGGCCCACCAAGGCGACGAUCCGUAGCUGGUCUGAGAGGAUGAUCAGCCACACUGGAACUGAGACACGGUCCAGACUCCUACGGGAGGCAGCAGUGGGGAAUAUUGGACAAUGGGCGCAAGCCUGAUCCAGCCAUACCGCGUGGGUGAAGAAGGCCUUCGGGUUGUAAAGCCCUUUUGUUGGGAAAGAAAAGCAGCAGGUUAAUACCCCGCUGUUCUGACGGUACCCAAAGAAUAAGCACCGGCUAACUUCGUG
RNAcentral lists this ribosomal RNA (493 nucleotides) under uncultured bacterium. RNAcentral's name for it is "partial 16S ribosomal RNA". It matches the Rfam family "Bacterial small subunit ribosomal RNA", at positions 27 to 507 of the family's 1533-position model. The record is from RNAcentral.